GCACCCAAAUCUAAACUGAUCACUGUUGGCCAGGUAAGUAAGAGAUUGAUGGGAGGCUCCCCACUAUCAGUGGCAACAGUCCUAAUUAAAUAACCAUUGCUUAAUGAGUUGCCUUAGACACCAAUAGGUCCUGACCAAUUUCAAUUGGGUUAACCUAAGUGAUCGAGGCUCGAGCCACUGAGCCAAGAUCAUAUUAUGGAUCAUUGAUUUAGCACACAUGCAUGUUAAUCGAUUUGAUCCUACAACUAUUAUUUUGAUCUUGAGCAGACUUGACCUAAUCACAAUCAACUC
RNAcentral lists this long non-coding RNA (291 nucleotides) under Elaeis guineensis (African oil palm). RNAcentral's name for it is "long non-coding RNA (EGUI_LNC003998)". The record is from RNAcentral. Lineage: Eukaryota; Viridiplantae; Streptophyta; Magnoliopsida; Arecales; Arecaceae.